Molecule: ribosomal RNA, 1251 nt
Filed under: Triticum aestivum (bread wheat)
Lineage: Eukaryota; Viridiplantae; Streptophyta; Magnoliopsida; Poales; Poaceae
Description: partial small subunit ribosomal RNA
Source: RNAcentral
AUGGCUACGAGUUUAUUUCUAAUGAGUUUGUUGAUGCUUUUGCUUGACUCUAACCCCUGCACAGCUCUCUCAUGGAGGAACAAUAGUUUAGUGGAUGAUAUUGGUAUACCAUGUCCAGUUUCUCCGCAUCCGUUUACUAUGUGCAAGUCAGAGGCAGAAGCUUACGGCUAUCCAUGUGAAGAUCACAAGGUCACAACUGAAGAUGGAUAUAUUCUUAGCUUAAAAAGGAUUCCUCAUGGCCAUGAUACUGAUAACUCAACCGGGGAUGAGAAGACAAGGCAACCAAUACUGCUAUUCCACGGGCUUUUUGUGGAUGGCGUUUCUUGGCUACUGGGUACACCAGACCAAUCACUUGGCUUUAUUUUGGCAGACGGUGGGUUUGAUGUUUGGCUAGCGAACACUCGUGGAACUAAUACCAGCCGCAAACAUACAUCGCUGUCCCCAAAAAAUCCGGCUUUCUGGGAUUGGUCGUGGGACCAAAUUGCUGAAUAUGAUCUUCCAGCCGUGCUUGAGUUUGUGUAUCACCACACAGGACGUCAAAAAGUCCACUAUAUCGGUCACUCACUGGGAACCUUGAUUAUUCUUGCAGCCUUCUCUGAGCACAAGUUACUACACUUAGUUCGAUCAGCUGUGUUGCUCUGCCCAAUCGCUUAUCUGAGCAGAACUAGAUCCGAUCUCACCCGGCUUGCUGCUAAAAUGUUCAUGGCAGAAGCAGCUCACUUUAUAGGUCUUCACGAGUUCAAUCCUGUUGGAAAAACUGCAGCUGAACUUCUAGCCAAAGUAUGUGGCGACCCCAAAAUUGACUGCCACGAUGUAUUUUCUGCUCUUGCAGGACCGGACUGUUGCCUCAAUAAAUCAACUACAUGUGCCUUCAUGCUGCAUGCUCCACAGCCUACGUCUAUGAGAAACCUUAUUCACUUGUCGCAGAUGGUCAGGAACGAAGGGGUCAGAAGGUAUGACUACGGCAAUGCCAAGGAAAACAUGAAGCAUUACAAGCAACCACGCCCUCCGCUGUACAACCUCUCAUCCAUUCCGACCCAUGUCCCCAUGCUCCUGACGCAUGGCGGCCAAGACUUCCUCGGCGAUGUCCCUGACACCAGGCACCUCCUGAAGACACUGGUCAGAAACCAUGACUCCGAUAACAUCGAGGUGCAAUACUUGCCCGACUAUGCUCAUGCUGACUUUGUGAUAGCCUAUAAUGCUCCACGCCUCGUAUAUGAACCGAUGGUCGACUUCUUUCAACGUCACUGA